UUGAAGCUUCACAUUGUGAAGUUGCUCGUCAUCUUGAUCAUUGGUAUGGUCACCACUUUUUAUUGCAUCGUGUUCAGUUACAGAUUUUGGCUGUUCUUUGAUUUGCUCAAUAUUGUUUGAAGUCCCUGCUGUAUCUUCACCAGAUAUUUGUACAACAUCCUCCUCAGUAGCGCUCUCAUCUUUCUGAGUUGUAAAAGCAGUUUUUUCACCCAAGUCAGAUGAUUCGUCCUGUAUCAAAUGUAUCAGUGAGUUCUCCUGUGAGUAUGCUCAAAUUCAGACGAGUAGUGGCAAUUUUUUGCUGCUGUUACAGAUUGCAGAAUUAUGCAACUGAAAUGGAAUGCUUUUAAAGUACAAAUCUUCAAUCUAGUUUGCACUGCACAACUUCAGGCAGAAAUCAGUUGUACAUCACUUGGUUAAAUCUUUAUAAUUUUUUGUAUACACCAUCAUUGUCAGACAAUGAUAGCAGUCAACCUACAAGCCGCUAAUUAUAUGUGUCUCUUGCUAGAUAGUGCUUCUUUGUAUGAUGGAUGAUAGUGCUUCUGUGUCUCUUGCUAGAUACAAUGUUGCAGCGGAAUUAGAUGUAUCGAGGUUAUUUAUACAGUUCAACCAAAACGACCUACUUACAUUUUUUAAAAUCAUCCAAACAUCAGUUACAAUAUAUUUUGGAGUUCUGAAUAAGUUUAGUAUUACCUACAUCUCUUAAUAGUCUAACAUAUAUCCAAGUGAUAUAAGUGCUAAAUGUCUCAGAUAGAUGAAAGGAACUAUCGGUUAAGGGCACGUACCUUUUGUUCUAUUGGCUCUUGUACUUCCUCUUUGAUGUUUUCAUCUGCCAAGAUUGUGUUGCUAAUUUUAUUACCCAAGUUUUCUUUGUCUAACUCCACAGGAUUUUGUUCUGGCUCGGUUCCAUGAUCUGUUGGAGAUGGAUCCUCCAAAGUAGCAACUUCUGUUUUUUGAGUGGAAAUUUCUUCAUCAUUGAUGCCUUCAGUGGCCGUCAUUUGUUCCAAUUCAUCCAUGCCAUUUACUUGCUGAAUAUCAGAAGUUAGCUCAACUGUUGCUAUAUCACUUUCUGAAACUGGCUCCUCUAACCCAGGAUCUUGGCAUGGAUGGGAGGCUUCUUCACCUUCAGUUGCAUCAAUACAUUUGUUUUCUUCACCUUCAUGCUCUUGUUUAGAAUCAGCAAGCUGGUUGAUUUCAUUUGCAGCAUUAUCUUCUGCAGUUGGUUCUCCAAGGGUGGCACCAUUACUUUGGCCUGUUUCUUCUGCCUUUACUAGUUGACCCUUGCUGUCUUCAGCCAAUUCUGAUUGAUGUGCUGAUUGGACAAGCAAAUUUGGGUCACUUCCUGGUUCACUGCUGGCGUUCUGUACAUGUGUAUCUUGAGUAUGCUCCACUACCGUUGUUUCUUCUUCUGUUGGAGUAAGCUCAGCAGAAGUAGGAUCAAUGCUUUGUUGGGGUUCCCCUUGGUUUUCUGUGGUGUCAGUGCACGUCUUCUCUUCAAGCGCUUCUUGUUCCGGGACUUGCUGAAUAUCAAGAAGUGGUGCACUUGCUGUCAAAUCAUCAUCUGUACUCUCACGAGGGAUUUCUCCAGUCUGCAUGUCUUCAGUGUCAUUUAUCUCUUCUGCUGGGACAUUAACCGCUGAUAUACUAUCUUCCGCUUCAACAGGUUCAGUAUUCUUGAUCUCUUCUAGUGCUGUUUCCUGUGUUGUUGGUAUAUCGACUUGUACAUCAGGAGCUAUCUUGUCCGCAAGACCAACAUCUUCAGUGAGCUCGCUGAUGUUUGCAUCAGUGCUCUUCUUGACUGCUUCAAUUUCCAUGGUUCCAGUGCCCUUCACUUCUUCUGCUGGUAGGUCAGGUGCUGAUUUGUUUUCUUCCAUCUCAACAGGUUCAGCAUUCUCGAGCUCUUGUAGUUCUGACACUUGUGCUUCUGGUAUAUCAUCUGUUGCCUCAGCUGCCAUUACAUGUUCUUCAGGAGCUGCCUCAUCUGCAUGAGCAACAUUGCCUCUUACAUCCUCGGUGAGCUCACUGAUGUUUACAUCAGCGAUCUCGUUGAUUGCUUCAGUUUUCUUGGCUUCAGUCUCCUUCACCUCUUCUGCCGACAGCUCAUUUGCUGAUAUGUUUUCUUCCACUUCAAUAGGUUCAGUAUUCUUGAUUUCUUCUAGGUCUAGCUCUUGUGCUCGUGGGAUAUCAACUGGUGCCUCAGUUGCUAUUACAUGCUCUUCAGGAGCAGCCUCAUCUGCAGGAGCAACAUUGCUUGUCACAUCCUCAGUGAGUUCGCUGAUGUUUGCAUCAGGGCUCUUGUUGAUUGCUUCAGUUUCCUUCACCACUUCUGCUUGCAGGCCACUUGCUGAUCUAUUUUCUUCCACCUCAACUGGUUCAACACUCUUGAUCUCUUCUAGUUCCGGCUCCUGUGCCUGUGGUAUAUCAAAUGUUGUCUCAGCUACUGUUACAUGCUCUGCAUGAGGUUCCUCGUCUGCAGGCACAACGUUGCUUUUCACAUCCUCAUUGAGCUCACUGAUGUUUGCAUCAGUCCUUUUGCUGAUUGCUUCAGUUUCCUUCACCUCUUCUUCUGGCAGGUCACCUGCUUCAGUAUUCUUGAUCUCUUCUAGCUCUGGCUCUUGUGCAUGUGGUAUAUCGACUGUUGUCUCAGCUACUGUUACAUGUUCUUUAUGAGCUGCCUCAUCUGUAAGAGCAAUGUUGCAUUUCAUAUCUUCAGUAAGCUCACUGAUGUUUGCAUCAGUGCUCUCAUUGAUUGCUUCAGUGUCCUUCACCUCUUCUGCCGGUAUGUCACUCGCUGAUGUGUUUUCUUCCACCUCAACAGGUUCAGUAUUCUCGAUCUCUUCUAGUUCUGGUUCUUGUGCUCGUGGAAUAUUAACUGUUCCCUCAGUUGCUAUUAUAUGCUCUUCAUGAGCUGCCUCGUCUGCAGGAUUGACACUGCUUGUCACAUCCUCAAUGAGCUCGCUGAUGUUUGCAUCAAUGCUCUCGUUGAUUGCUUCAGUUUCCUUCACCUCUUCUGCUGGCAAGUUACCUGCUGAUCUGUUCUCCUCCACCUCAACAGGUUCAACAUUCUCAAGAUCCUUUAGUUCCGGCGCUUGUGCUUGUGGUAUAUCAACCGUUGCCUCAGCUGCUAUUACAUGUUCUUCAGGAGCUGCCUCUUCUGCAGGAGUAACAUUGCUUUUCAUAUCCUCAGUGAGCUCACUAAUGCUUGCAUCAGUGCUCUCAUUGAUUGCUUCAGUGUCCUUCACCUUUUCUGCUGGCAGGUCACUUGCUGGUAUGUUUUCUUCCACCUUAACAGGUCUAGUAUUCUGGAUCUCUUCUACUUCUGGCUCUUGUGCUUGUGGUAUAUCGACUGUAUUAUCAGCUACCGUUACAUGUUCUUCAGGAGCUGCCUCGUCUGCAAGAGCAACAUUGCUUUUCACAUCUUCAGUAAGCUCAUUGUUGUUUGCAUCAGUGCUCUCGUUGAUUGCUUCAGUCUCCACGGCUUCACUAUCUUUCACCUCUUCUGCUGGCAGAUCAUUUUCUGAUACAUAUGCUUCCACUUCAGCAGGUUCAGUGUUCUUGGUCUCUUCUAGUUCUGGCUCUUGUGUUCGUGGUAUAUCAACUGUUGCGGCAGUUGCUAUUACAUGUUCUUCAGGAGCUGCCUCGUCUGCACACACGAGAUUGCUUUUCACAUCCUCAGUAAGCUUACUGAUGUUUGCAUCAAUGCUCUCGUUGAAUGCUUCAGUUUCCUUGGCUUCAGUGUCCUUCAUCUCUUCUGCCGGCAUGUCACUAGCUGAUAUGUUUUCUUUCACUUCAACAGGUUCAAUAUUCUUGAUCUCUUCUAGUUCCGGCUCUUGUGCUUGUGCUAUAUCAACUGUUGCCUCAGUUGCUAUUACAUGUUCUUCAGGAGCAGCCUCGUCUGCAAGAGCAACGUUACUUUCCACAUCCUCAGCGAUCUCACUGAAGUUUGCAUCAGUGCUCCCAUUGGUUGCUUCAGUUUCCUUGGCUUCAUUGCCGUUCACCUCUUCUGCCGGCAGGUCACUCGCUGAUAUGUUUUCUUCCACCUCAACAGGUUCAGUAUUCUUGAUCUCUUCUACUUCUGGCUCUUGUGCAUGUGGUAUAUCAACUGUAUCAUCAGCUACUGUUACAUGUUCUUCAGGAGCUGCUUCGUCUGCAAGAGCAACAAUGUUUUUCACAUCUUCAGUGAGCUCACUGUUGUUUGUGUUAGUGCUCUCGUUGAUUGUUUCAGUCUCCAUGGCUUCAGUAUCCUUCACCUCUUCUGCUGGCAGAUCAUUUGCUGAUAUGUUUUCUGCCACUUCAGCAGGUUCAGUAUUCUUGGUCUCUUCUAGUUCUGGCUCUUGUGCUUCUGGUAUAUCAACUGUUGCCUCAGGUGCCAUUACAUGCUCUUCAGGAGCUACCUCCUCUGUAAGGGCAACAUUGUUUUGCACAUCUUCAAUGAGAUCGCUAAUGUUUGCGUCACUGCUCUCAUUGUUUGCUUCAGUUUCCCCCAUCUCUUCUGCAGGCAGGUCGCUUGCUGAUCUAGUUUCUUCCACCUCAACAGGUUCAGUAUUCUUGACCUCUUCUAGUUUCGGCUCUUGUGCUUGUGGUACAUCAACUGUUCUCUCAGCUACUGUUACAUGUUCAUCAUGAGCUGCCUCGUCUGUAAGAGAAACAUUGCUUUGCACAUCUUCAGUGAGCUCACUGUUGUUUGCAUCAGUGCUGUCGUUGAUUGCUUCUGUUUCCACGGUGUCAGUAUCCUUCACAUUUUUCGCUGGCAGAUCACUUGCUGAUGUGUUCCCUUCCACUUCAGCAGGUUCACUAUUCUUGAUCUCUUCUAGGUUUGGCUCUUGCGGUUGUGGUAUAGCACCAGUUGCUUCUGUUGCUUUUGCAUGUUCAUCAGGAGCUGCCUCAUCUGCAAGAGCAAUAUUGCUUUUCACAUCAUUGAUGAGCUCGCUGAUGUUUCCACCAGUACUCUCAUGAGGGAUCAUCUCAGUUUCCAUGGCUUCAGUAUCCUUGAUCUCUUCUGCUGGCAGGUCCCUUGCUGUUAUAUUAUCUUCCACUUCAACGGGUUCACUAUUCUUGUUCUCUUCUAAUUCUGGCUCUUGUGGUUGUGGUAUAGCAGCAGUUGCCUCUGUUGCUUUUGCAUCUUCAUCAGGAGCUGCCUCAUCUUCAAGGGCAACGUUGCUUUUGGCAUCUUCAGUGAGAUCACCAAUAUUUGCAACAGGGCUCUCAUAGUAG
This 5211-nucleotide long non-coding RNA is filed under the name Hordeum vulgare. RNAcentral describes it as "long non-coding RNA (HVUL_LNC014830)". Lineage: Eukaryota; Viridiplantae; Streptophyta; Magnoliopsida; Poales; Poaceae. The record is from RNAcentral.